Molecule: long non-coding RNA, 340 nt
Organism: Frieseomelitta varia
Lineage: Eukaryota; Metazoa; Arthropoda; Insecta; Hymenoptera; Apidae
Exons: 3
Source: RefSeq, a predicted model, not a curated record
AUAUUGUCCGAAGUAGUUCUCCAAUUCACCGUUGUUUAAGAGUAGAGUGCGCUAAAAAACCAGUGAUUUUUUUUUUCCUAGUCGAUAUUUCAGAGCCUGAGACACCAAAUCCCAUUUAAUGUCCAAUCUAUGCUGUUUCUGGUCAAUGAUCGUACGAGGUUUUGCUACAAACUUCACCGAUGGCUGACGGGUUGCGGCAUGUAGGCGUCAUACUAAUUCCUACACGUUAAAUACAUUGUACAUUUCAGUUUAUAAUGAAGCGCGUUUCGAUCAGUAUAGAAGAACAACACAAACGGGAAUCAAUCAUUUAUUUAUUUAUUUAUCAAUGGAAAUAAUGAAA